This 1489-nucleotide long non-coding RNA is filed under the name Bos indicus x Bos taurus (hybrid cattle). RNAcentral describes it as "lncRNA (ENSBIXG00000027542.1)". The record is from RNAcentral. Lineage: Eukaryota; Metazoa; Chordata; Mammalia; Artiodactyla; Bovidae.
CAGGCCCUGUGGCCAACUCACCAGCCACUGUCUCCCCCGACCCCAGCCUCCCUAUCAACAACUUAGGAGGACCCCUUUGGAAGAAUGAUAAACUCUUGGGUCACUGGGGACUUCUGAGGAGGACAACAUCUCGGGAAGCUGGACUGGGCUUGCUGGGUGGAAAUCAGAGUGGUAUGAAUUUUAACAUUAAAAACAUGUGACUUAAAGUGACCCAGUUUUGUCACCUAAGCUGGUGAGGUGGGUCAUACAAGGAAAACAGGGUUUCAAACACCUGGUUUCUGACAUGUGACCUUAACUGUAUAUCUGUCUGCCUUAGCUGGAUUAAUUUCAUUCUUUCAUCUGUCUGGAAUCUUCAGACAUAACUUGAAGCAAAGCAAAACAAGACAAACAAAUUCAGACUUAAACCUUUGAAGUGUCAUACAUUUUCCCAAGAAGUUUAGAAUUCUAUGGCUUGGGCUUGCUUUAAUCGUAGCUCCUUUGCAGCUCAGUGUUCUGUGAUAACCUAAAUGGGUGGUAUGAGGGGUAGGGGUGGGGGCAGUGGGAGGCAAGUUCAAGAGGGAGGGGAUAUAAGUAUACACAUAGCUGAUUUACUUUGUUGUACAGCAGAAACUAACACAACAUUGUAAAGCAAUUAUACUCCAGUAAAGAAAAAAGAAAAGAAAAAACCCGUAGAGCUCCUUUGAAUGUACUUUUUAAAAAUAGGUAUUUAUUUUUAAAAAUUACAUAACAUGUAUGUCUAAGGCAGGUGACCCAGUUUGGUCACUCUUUAGAUAUAACCUGCUUCCUCUUCACUUGCCAGAAAUUCUUUCUUAUUCUUUCUUUUCUUCUUCCUUUCCUCCUUUCCUUCCUUCCUUUUUUUCCCCAUGCUUUCUUUCUCAAUCUUUUUCCCUCCUUCCUUCCUUCUUCCCCUUCUCUUUCUUUCUCCCUCCUUUCCUUCCUUUCUAUAGCAGGAAAAGAUCCACGUUAGCAAUCCCUGGGAUCAAGAACUAUACAGAAAAAUGUAAAAUUUUUAAAAUCAAAGACUUCCUCCUACUUCCAGCUCCAGAGUCCAAAGCUGUGCACAGCAGCCGAGGAGAAGACCUGAGAGACAACGCGAAAGCCGGGAGGCUGCCCCGGGCCAGAUGCACGCACCAAGCCGCCAUGACUGCUGCCGGCACUGCCUUCUUCUUUAAUUUUUAUGUUUGACUGUACUGCAUGGCACAUGGGAUCUUAAUUCCUCAACCAAAGAUUCAGUCUACACCCCCUGCAUUGGAAGAGUGGAGUCUUAACCACUGGACCACCAGGGAAGUCCCCGGUUCUUUCUUGAAGUUCUUUCAAGAUGAAGAAAUGUAGACACAUGCACACAGAGAGGACCACAUGAACACACUGCAGGAGUGGCCAUCUGCAAACCAAGGAGGGAGACCUCAAGAGAAAACAAAGUGCUUGCACUUUGAUCUUGCCCAGAUAGCCUCCAGAGUGGUGGGAAAAUAAACUUAUGUUGUUUAGGCCA